AAGAAACACGGUGCAAGCUGUGGCUUACAGAUGGGCCUGCGGCGCAUUAGCUAGUUGGUGGGGUAACGGCUCACCAAGGCGACGAUGCGUAGCCGACCUGAGAGGGUGAUCGGCCACACUGGGACUGAGACACGGCCCAGACUCCUACGGGAGGCAGCAGUAGGGAAUCUUCCGCAAUGGACGCAAGUCUGACGGAGCAACGCCGCGUGAGUGAAGAAGGUUUUCGGAUCGUAAAGCUCUGUUGCCAAGGAAGAACGCCUUGGGGAGUCACUGCCCUGAGGGUGACGGUACUUGAGAAGAAAGCCCCGGCUAACUACGUGCCAGCAGCCGCGGUAAUACGUAGGGGGCAAGCGUUGUCCGGAAUUAUUGGGCGUAAAGCGCGCGCAGGCGGCCGCUUAAGUUUGGUGUAUAAGCCCGGGGCUCAACCCCGGAUCGCACCGAAAACUGGGUGGCUUGAGUGCAGGAGAGGAAAGCGGAAUUCCACGUGUAGCGGUGAAAUGCGUANAGAUGUGGAGGAACACCANUGGCGAAGGCGGCUUUCUGGACUGUAACUGACGCUGAGGCGCGAAAGCGUGGGGAGCAAACAGGAUUANAUACCCUGGUANUCCACGCCGUAAACGAUGAAUGCUANGUGUUAGG
Molecule: ribosomal RNA, 639 nt
Filed under: Paenibacillus naphthalenovorans
Lineage: Bacteria; Bacillati; Bacillota; Bacilli; Caryophanales; Paenibacillaceae
Description: bacterial SSU rRNA
Rfam family: Bacterial small subunit ribosomal RNA
Source: RNAcentral